CUUUUACAAUGAAGAGUUUGAUCCUGGCUCAGGAUGAACGCUAGCUACAGGCUUAACACAUGCAAGUCGAGGGGCAGCAUUUUAGUUUGCUUGCAAACUGAAGAUGGCGACCGGCGCACGGGUGAGUAACACGUAUCCAACCUGCCGAUAACUCUGGAAUAGCCUUUCGAAAGAAAGAUUAAUACCGGAUANNNNNNNNNNGGAAUAGCCUUUCGAAAGAAAGAUUAAUACCGGAUAGUAUACGAAUAUCGCAUGAUAUUUUUAUUAAAGAAUUUCGGUUAUCGAUGGGGAUGCGUUCCAUUAGUUUGUUGGCGGGGUAACGGCCCACCAAGACUACGAUGGAUAGGGGUUCUGAGAGGAAGGUCCCCCACAUUGGAACUGAGACACGGUCCAAACUCCUACGGGAGGCAGCAGUGAGGAAUAUUGGUCAAUGGGCGA
This 438-nucleotide ribosomal RNA is filed under the name Bacteroides ovatus. RNAcentral describes it as "partial 16S ribosomal RNA". It matches the Rfam family "Bacterial small subunit ribosomal RNA", at positions 1 to 378 of the family's 1533-position model. The record is from RNAcentral. Lineage: Bacteria; Pseudomonadati; Bacteroidota; Bacteroidia; Bacteroidales; Bacteroidaceae.